Molecule: ribosomal RNA, 253 nt
Filed under: uncultured bacterium
Lineage: Bacteria
Description: partial 16S ribosomal RNA
Rfam family: Bacterial small subunit ribosomal RNA
Source: RNAcentral
UACGGAGGGGGCUAGCGUUGUUCGGAAUUACUAGGCGUAAAGCGCACGUAGGCGGCUUUGUAAGUUAGAGGUGAAAGCCCGGGGCUCAACUCCGGAAUUGCCUUUAAGACUGCAUCGCUAGAAUUGUGGAGAGGUAAGUGGAAUUCCGAGUGUAGAGGUGAAAUUCGUAGAUAUUCGGAAGAACACCAGUGGCGAAGGCGACUUACUGGACACAUAUUGACGCUGAGGUGCGAAAGCGUGGGGAGCAAACAGG